CCUGCCAUGUGUGGAUGGUUUUUAGACUAGUUCUUAAAUUCCUUUUCUGCUGUGACAGCUUGUGUGAAUAUGGAUUCUCAUUAUGCAAACUUUUAAAAAGAACCCUUUCGUUUUUCAAACAAACUUCUUCACCAGUUUGUUUUGGAUCAAAUAAAUAGGAGUAAAAUGUUGUCAGGUUUUAUUGGCUGGAUUUAACUUUUAAAUAUUACUUAAAACAUUUCUAUCAUGGGCUAUCAUGCUGAAUAAUAGAGCUUCUUGUUUUAGGAUGAAAUGAAUCUGUAUGGGGGAAUGUUUUUUUCUAGAAAGCAAAUUCUUCCAAAAUUGGAUGGAGAACAUUUUUCAUCCAUAUAGCACCAAGCCUAUCUGAUUUUCUUCCCCCCCCCCCCCGGGCCCUCAUUGGCAGCAAAUAGAUUUCUUGUGGGGUAUGAAAACCUGCUUUCAUUUUAUUUGGAUUGAUGAGAGCUUACAGGGAAAGAAAGUAUAUAUGGGUUUUGAUUAAUAUCGUGAGUGCUUGUCCUCUCCUUUACGUCCUAUUCAUUUAACUUGCUAAUAAAAAAGUUAGAAACUCCCUUCUACUAUACAUGAUGCUUUACUCUGUAUUUUCUUCCCUUUUAGCUUGAGAAAUUGCCCGACAGCACCGAAGAGCUAGCAGCAACUGAGGGGGAAACAUCAGGAAACAAAGACAUGCAGGUGAUACAGUACAGGGGAAAUCCUUUGCUUUCGUUUCUCGAAGAGUUGCCUUCAAUUGAAAGUUCAGGGAAGAUGGAGGAUCCUAAAGAUCUCCUCCUGACCCCGUUGGAGGAGAAACCUGUGAUCUCUCUUUCCUCAAGUAGUGAAAUAGCCUCCUCAGUGGCAGCUCCAGUGAACCAAGCCGAGCCUCCAGAUAUACUGGGAAUGGGUGACCAGCCCUUGCUCUCAGAAGAUGCGAAUGGGGAGUAUAAACUGUUCCCACUCUUACUCCUCAGUCCUGUUGCUAACUUUAUAGAAGAGGCCUCAGAGAUAGAAACUACUUGAACUUGGAAAAACCUUCCUAAACUCAGCUUCCUGCUAUAAAAUGUGCAGAAAUGAUACAAGAAUCAGCGACAAGCUUUGUCACCCUCUUCUACUCCCCCCUCCCACCAUUCUCCUGGGCCUAGUAGUCUACAAAAACAUUGGAAGGACUUUAUUCCUGCAAUCCAGGAAGAAAGAUAAAAGCAAGUUUAAGACAAGAGCUACACAGCACUGAAGGUACCAGAGGGAGAUGAUCAAACUCCAUAUAAAUACAACUUUUUUUAUACAAUGAUUUCAUUGCAAGAGAGGAUCUGUUUGUAUUCCAUUGUAAAGAUUAGCAGUUUUUAGCUGGCCAGUAACAGUAUGGAGUAUUGUAACCUGGCCUGUACUAUUUUGAGAGCCUGUUUCAUUAGGGGACUUGUCUACUAAGCCGGGAGAUGCUUCUUUUAUUAAGUCUGUGGGUUGGAUGAUUUGCAUCUGUGUAGGGCACUUUUUCCUACUCCUAGAUUUGCUCCUGGGCUUUUUAAUAUAGACAACACUUUUUUUUCCUAUGGAAAAUAGUAUUUUUUAACAUGGUGUAUUACUUUAGGGCAUGCUGGUGGCUCUUCAUUGCUACAGUUAUAAGUGUUUUGUUGGUUCUGCACUUUACCUAAAGCUUAUUUCUCAUGCACAUUGCAUGAAGAGUUUUCUGGCAUAACUUGCAUAUAAGUGACCUGCAUGUAUGUUCUCCUUAAGCAAGGAUUUUACCAGUCUGGGAGACACUGGGCAAAGUCCAGCAGCUGUCCUUGCUUUGCAAAAAGCACGCUUUUUGCAAGACACGUGUUUUUUAUGCCCCUCGCAGCUCACUUGGACAAACCAGAAAAGGCUGCACGAUGUUGAUCUUUGUAAUCAUAGAACAUCUCCUCAAUGCUCCUCUCUUCUACUCGCAGUAUCCUCUUGUUCACAUGGUGCUCUGAAACAUUGGGCCCAAUUUUGCCUUAGCCAAAGAACUCCCUGUGGUGAAACUGGCAAAUUCUUGGAACCACUUCCUGCUCCAUUAUUUAAAAAAGAAAAAAAAAGCUUAUCCUAUAAAAUUGCUUCCAUCUGAGCACAAAAACAGCAUUUCUGUACUACGUGGCAAGUUAUUGUCCCUAAACAACUCUGGAAAGUUAGUGUUUAUUAGUGCCAUAACAUGUUAGGACUGGAUUUGAUGCACAGUCCUGUAGUUAGGCUUGUAAUAUCCUGCACUUGAAGCUUGUGAUGCAGAGUAAUGGUGAAUUCAUUGCAGGAGCUGAGCAAAGACUUACUUCUGUAAUAUUACAGAAUUACCAAUUUCACCCACAGGAUUGCUAUGAAAUAUUCUUAUUUCUUCUUAAACUGUCAAGAACCCAGGUCACCUUAAUUGAAACAUGGAAUGGCUAGCAAGACUAACUUGACUAGUUGCAAAAUGAAUCUAUCUUGAACAAUGCAAGUUACAUGUUGGGUGUGUGGGAACCUUGUUUAUGUUGGUUUUGUUGCUGAGUCUUUGAGUUAACAAGAGCAGUGUUCCUAGUGUGUGUUGUGCAUGUGCAUACCCUCACUGUUGCUAAGUUAAUUAUUUCAGUACUUUUGUAACUUGUCCUUUACUUAUAUUCUUUUUCAUGUUUUAUAUUUUUAAUUGCUGUCUCUUUAAAUAUGCAGUGUCCCAGGCAGGUUUGUUGUUUAAGGGAGAGUGAAAUGGUCUACAGCCUUGAACUUUAGAAGCAGGUGGGUGGGCGUAGGAGUAUGUGCAUGUUGUAGCUUCGUGCUUUUUUUUUUUGCAAUACAUUAAUUUGGUCUGCAGGAGCAAUGCAGCAUAAACCGGAUUCUUCUGGUGCUGUUUCAAACCAAUUCCAAAUGACGUAGAUCAGGAAGUGUCUGGUCUUGUAUCAUUUCUGAUCUAAGCAAGGUUGAUUUAAAUAUCUGCACUUUCUGCUACUGUCUUUAUUUUUUAUUUUUUCCCCUUUUUUGGUGAGGUGCUGUUUUCUUUCACUUUUUUUCUGGACUCAUUAGCUGAACCUAGCCUCUUUCCACAUCACUGCAAACAAUUUCUUUUGUCUUGUGUAGAUUUCUUCCACAUCCCCCUUCCCCCCUUUUUAAGAACAUGGUUAACAAACUAGAACACCUAUUUUAAAAAGGAAAUGGAAACUGCUGAUGAUGUUUUGUUCAUGAUCAUGUUUUGGAAAUGUAUAUGCUUAUGCAAGCUUCCUGACAACAGCAUAUUCUGGAUGGGAGGUUGGGUAAUGAGGAGGAACACACAUUGAAGUAAUUAAAUUCCAGGAUUGUAAAAUCA
Molecule: long non-coding RNA, 3280 nt
Organism: Alligator sinensis (Chinese alligator)
Lineage: Eukaryota; Metazoa; Chordata; Crocodylia; Alligatoridae
Exons: 2
Source: RefSeq, a predicted model, not a curated record